UCUGGCUUAUAGCCUAGCGGUCCCAUUAGAGUGCCCAACUUAAUGCUGGUAACUAAUGGCGAGGGUUGCGCUCGUUGCGGGACUUAACCCAACAUCUCACAACACGAGCUGACGACAGCCAUGCAGCACCUGUCACCGGGUCCCGAAGGAACCCCUGGUUUCCCAGGGUAGCCCGGGAUGUCAAGCCCAGGUAAGGUUUUUCGCGUAGCAUCGAAUUAAACCACAUGCUCCACCGCUUGUGCGGGCCCCCGUCAAUUCCUUUGAGUUUUAAUCUUGCGACCGUAAUCCCCAGGCGGGAUACUUAAUGCGUUAGCUGCGACACCGAAACUAUUAGGUAUUCCGACGUCUAGUAUCCAUCGUUUAGGGCGUGGACUAC
This 376-nucleotide unclassified non-coding RNA is filed under the name uncultured delta proteobacterium. RNAcentral describes it as "contains 16S-23S intergenic spacer region". The record is from RNAcentral. Lineage: Bacteria; Deltaproteobacteria.